This 72-nucleotide transfer RNA is filed under the name Phrynosoma platyrhinos (Desert horned lizard). RNAcentral's name for it is "tRNA-OTHER". Lineage: Eukaryota; Metazoa; Chordata; Lepidosauria; Squamata; Phrynosomatidae. The record is from RNAcentral.
GAACCACUGGUGUAGUGGUUUGGGUGUUGGUCUAUGACUCUGGAGACCAGGGUUCAAUUCCCUGCUUGGCCA